AGUAGUUUGACUCCGUGGCUCGAGGACGACGCUGGCGGCGUGCUUAACACAUGCAAGUCGAACGAAGCUUGAUUUCGGAAUCUUUCGGGAUGAAGAAUGAUAUGACUUAGUGGCGGACGGGUGAGUAACGCGUGAGUAACCUGCCUUUCAGAGUGGAAUAACGUUUGGAAACGAACGCUAAUACCGCAUAACAUCAAUUUAUCGCAUGGUAGAAUGAUCAAAGAUUUAUCGCUGAGAGAUGGACUCGCGUCCGAUUAGGUAGUUGGUGAGGUAACGGCUCACCAAGCCGACGAUCGGUAGCCGGACUGAGAGGUUGAACGGCCACAUUGGGACUGAGACACGGCCCAGACUCC
RNAcentral lists this ribosomal RNA (353 nucleotides) under uncultured Oscillospiraceae bacterium. Its description in RNAcentral is "bacterial SSU rRNA". It matches the Rfam family "Bacterial small subunit ribosomal RNA", at positions 1 to 339 of the family's 1533-position model. Lineage: Bacteria; Bacillati; Bacillota; Clostridia; Eubacteriales; Oscillospiraceae. The record is from RNAcentral.